UAGGGAAUAUUGGACAAUGGGGGAAACCCUGAUCCAGCAAUGCCGCGUGAGUGAUGAAGGCCUUCGGGUUGUAAAGCUCUUUUAUCGGGGACGAUGAUGACGGUACCCGAUGAAUAAGCUCCGGCUAACUUCGUGCCAGCAGCCGCGGUAAUACGAGGGGAGCUAGCGUUGUUCGGAAUUACUGGGCGUAAAGGGCGCGUAGGCGGUACUAUAAGUCAGAUGUGAAAGCCCUGGGCUUAACCUAGGAGGUGCAUUUGAAACUGUAGAACUAGAGAUCGAGAGAGGAAAGUGGAAUUACGAGUGUAGAGGUGAAAUUCGUAGAUAUUCGUAAGAACACCAGUGGCGAAGGCGACUUUCUGGCUCGAUACUGACGCUAAGGCGCGAAAGCGUGGGGAGCAAACAGGAUUAGAUACCCGUGUAGUCCCUGAGCGGGCUGGCAAGGCGCAU
RNAcentral lists this ribosomal RNA (447 nucleotides) under uncultured bacterium. Its description in RNAcentral is "bacterial SSU rRNA". It matches the Rfam family "Bacterial small subunit ribosomal RNA", at positions 355 to 825 of the family's 1533-position model. The record is from RNAcentral.